GACGAACGCUGGCGGCGUGCCUAAUACAUGCAAGUCGAGCGAGCUUGCCUAGAUGAAUUUGGUGCUUGCACCAGAUGAAACUAGAUACAAGCGAGCGGCGGACGGGUGAGUAACACGUGGGUAACCUGCCCAAGAGACUGGGAUAACACCUGGAAACAGAUGCUAAUACCGGAUAACAACACUAGACGCAUGUCUAGAGUUUAAAAGAUGGUUCUGCUAUCACUCUUGGAUGGACCUGCGGUGCAUUAGCUAGUUGGUAAGGCAACGGCUUACCAAGGCAAUGAUGCAUAGCCGAGUUGAGAGACUGAUCGGCCACAUUGGGACUGAGACACGGCCCAAACUCCUACGGGAGGCAGCAGUAGGGAAUCUUGCACAAUGGACGCAAGUCUGAUGGAGCAACGCCGCGUGAGUGAAGAAGGGUUUCGGCUCGUAAAGCUCUGUUGGUAGUGAAGAAAGAUAGAGGUAGUAACUGGCCUUUAUUUGACGGUAAUUACUUAGAAAGUCACGGCUAACUACGUG
Molecule: ribosomal RNA, 519 nt
Filed under: uncultured bacterium
Lineage: Bacteria
Description: partial 16S ribosomal RNA
Rfam family: Bacterial small subunit ribosomal RNA
Source: RNAcentral